AGUCGAGCGGUAACNGGUGUAGCANUACNUGCUGACGAGCGGCGAACGGGUGAGUAAUGCUUUGGAAUCUUCCCAGUAGUGGGGAAUAACCAGUCGAAAGAUUGGCUAAUACCGCAUACGUCUGUAAAGGGAAAGCGGGGGCUCGUAAGACCUCGCGCUAUUGGAUGAGCCAAAGUCGGAUUAGCUAGUUGGUGGGGUAAUGGCCUACCAAGGCGACAAUCCGUAGCUGGUCUGAGAGGACGACCAGCCACACCGGAACUGAGACACGGUCCGGACUCCUACGGGAGGCAGCAGUGGGGAAUAUUGGACAAUGGGGGAAACCCUGAUCCAGCGACGCCGCGUGUGUGAAGAAGGCCUGCGGGUUGUAAAGCACUUUUAGUGGGGACAAAAAGCUACGGAUUAAUACUCUGUGGUCUUGAUUUAACCCAAAGAAAAAGCACCGGCUAACUCUGUGCCAGCAGCCGCGGUAAUACAGAGGGUGCGAGCGUUAAUCGGAAUUACUGGGCGUAAAGCGCGCGUAGACGGUUCUGUAAGUCAGAUGUGAAAUCCUUGGGCUCAACCUGGGAACUGCAUUUGAGACUGCAUGGCUAGAGUAUCGAAGAGGGAAGUGGAAUUUCCGGUGUAGCGGUGAAAUGCGUAGAUAUCGGAAGGAACACCAGUGGCGAAAGCGACUUCCUGGUCGAAUACUGACGUUCAUGUGCGAAAG
This 706-nucleotide ribosomal RNA is filed under the name uncultured Gammaproteobacteria bacterium. RNAcentral describes it as "bacterial SSU rRNA". It matches the Rfam family "Bacterial small subunit ribosomal RNA", at positions 60 to 759 of the family's 1533-position model. The record is from RNAcentral. Lineage: Bacteria; Pseudomonadati; Pseudomonadota; Gammaproteobacteria.